Molecule: long non-coding RNA, 2760 nt
Organism: Triplophysa dalaica
Lineage: Eukaryota; Metazoa; Chordata; Actinopteri; Cypriniformes; Nemacheilidae
Exons: 15
Source: RefSeq, a predicted model, not a curated record
AUGAGCACCGCAGUUUAAAUCAUCUAACAAUAGAUUCACGAAACAAGUGGAAAACUCGAGAAAUAAAUCUGCUUUUAAUGAAGACUGUGAGAAAGUUUAACUUUAUAAACCGCGUUAGGAGACGAGAUGAUGAGAGACUGAAUCUUUACCUCAGAGGAACAUUUAUUUCUUUGUUCUUUAAUGUAAAUUUCUCCUCGACCGUUCUCCAGACGUGGACAACUAUUCUGAAGAAGACAAUGACAGUUAUUCUUCAGAGCAGGAGGUCAGUGAUGAUGCCGUUCAGGGUCAGUGGAUAUGAACAGAAGUUCAGAUGCGUCUAUAGCGCUUCACUCUACAGCUGUUGAGCAGACGGCUGGGGGGAUGUCACAUGUGACGGAGAUGUGAACGCAGACAAAUCAGCAGCAAACAUCGACAAACUCUGCAAGGCCGAGUCUCAGACUCUCAUGUCGUGGAGACGCUGUGUGUUUCGUUAAAAAAAUUUGUGCGGCUCAUUUCCAGACGGCUGCUUCACGAACGCUUUGGUUAAAAGUGGGGCUAUUCCAACCAUUAAAACUUUACAAGGACAGUCUGGAGCUUCUGAUUUGCAGCCUGGUGGAGAUGUGUUAACAGUGGAUAUGAACAGAUAUUCAGAUGAAUCUACAGCGCUUCACUCUACAGCUGUUGAGCAGACGGCUGGGGGGGAUGUCACAUGUGACGGGGAUGUGAACGCAGACAAAUCAGCAGCAAACAUCGGCAAACUCUGCAAGGCCGAGUCUCAGACUCCUAGGCGGCCCCUCGGAAGAAGACGUGGAAGAGGAGACCAUGACCCCGUCAGCAGCUGCGGCAGAAGCGGCCACUGCCAGCCAUCGAACCACCUCCCGAGGGGGAGAAGAUGCAGAUCACACCCCUAGUCCCCGUCACUGUCCCUGGGGAUUGGCUCAAGCGGCAAAUGAUUUGAGUUUCGAGGCAUCCUCUCAACCUUAGUCAGAGGCAGGGAUGCUCCCGUACUGUGGGCCGAGGUCGUCAGCCUGGUUAAGAGUCCGACUCACUAACCAUUGUCACUUACGAUGGUUCGUGGACCCCGUGUCGAGACCGUUCUCCAGACGUGGACAACUAUUCUGAAGAAGACAAUGACAGUUAUUCUUCAGAGCAGGAGGUCAGUGAUGAUGCCGUUCAGGGUCAGUGGAUAUGAACAGAAGUUCAGAUGAGUUUAUAGCGCUUCACUCUACAGCUGUUGAGCAGACGGCUGGGGGGGAUGUCACAUGUGACGGGGAUGUGAACGCAGACAAAUCAGCAGCAAACAUCGGCAAACUCUGCAAGGCCGAGUCUCAGACUCUCAUGUCGUGGAGACGCUGUGUGUUUCGUUGAAUAAAGAAAGACCCUUUGUUUGCCCUGCCAUCAUGACAUAGCUGAAAACGAAUGGACCAAUUUUAUUUACAACACUGUUCCAGGAAAGUACAAAUCGAAUGUUAAAGCGUACGUAACAUGACAUCAUAAAAAUGACGUUUCAUGCAGUCUGUUAUAUUGCCGUGUUUGAAAGUAAGCUGUCUGCCAAGUUUUAAGUCGGAAGGUGAAUAAAUAACGAAGUUAUUUGCUUUUAAAUCUGAGAGUCGACUCUGAAUCACACAAACGAGUCGAGGAUGCAUAUCUACGUCACUAUACAUAAACGUGUUGCUGAGACUGCCGGGAAAACUUAUGUCUCCUCCCCCAAACACUGUCGCUCGUUUGUGAUGCAUGUGUAUCAUGUCUUGAGUCAGUGUUCUACGGUGUGACACGGUCGGUCUUAUUUCAACUACCAAAGGAAGAACGUCUGAGGGGAAAAUGGUAUCGUUGGAAAAAUGAUUUGUAACCAAAGGAGUAUAAACCCAGAGUUUAACUGUGCGUGUCAUUUCACAGAUGAUUGCUUUGAUAAUCUUGGCGUGUUCAGUGCAGGAUAUGUGAAACAACUAUCCUUGAAAGAGGGGGAAUACCAACUCUAUUUGGACCUUUUAGCUCCACCGAGUCCCAACCUGAGCAGACGGCUGGGGGGAUGUCACAUGUGACGGGGAUGUGAACGCAGACAAAUCAGCAGCAAACAUCGGCAAACUCUGCAAGGCCGAGUCUCAGACUCUCAUGUCGUGGAGACGCUGUGUCUUUCGUUGAAUAAAGAAAGACCCUUUUUUUGCCCUGCCAUUACAUAGCUGAAAACGAAUGGUCCAAUUUUAUUUACAACACUGUUCCAGAAAAGUACAAAUCGAAUGUUAAAGCGUACGUAACAUGACAUCAUAACACAACUGAAAAGGAAUGGACCAAUUUUAUUUACAAUACUGUUCCAGGAAAGUACAAACCGAAUGUUCAAGUUUGAGCAGCGCAUUUCCAGACGGCUGCUUCACGAACGCUUUGGUUAAAAGUGGGGCUAUUCCAACCAUUAAAACUUUACAAGGACAGUCUGGCGCUUCUGAUUUGCAGCCUUUUCACAGAUAUUCAGAUGAGUCUACAGCACUGGACUCAACAGCUGUGGAGCAGACGGCUGGGGGGGAUGUCACAUGUGACGGGGAUGUGAACGCAGACAAAUCAGCAGCAAAUAUCGGCAAACUCUGCAAGGCCGAGUCUCAGACUCUCAUGUCACUUAGACACACUGAUGGAGCAAUACAGGGCCCACCAGGAGGGCCCCGACCCCUCCACUAAGCUGCAGGACAAUGUCGCCAGCAAGGUGUAUCGCAUCAAGCGAUUUGUUGCGUACAUGGCCCAGGCAGGGGGCAAGCUCCAGACCCUGGACCUCCUCAAUGAUACGGAGAGGAU